AUUGAACGCUGGCGGCAUGCUUUACACAUGCAGGUCGAACGGUAACAGGCCGCAAGGUGCUGACGAGUGGCGAACGGGUGAGUAAUGCAUCGGAACGUGCCCAGUCGUGGGGGAUAACUACUCGAAAGAGUAGCUAAUACCGCAUACGAUCUAUGGAUGAAAGCGGGGGACCGUAAGGCCUCGCGCGAUUGGAGCGGCCGAUGUCAGAUUAGGUAGUUGGCGGGGUAAAGGCUCACCAAGCCAACGAUCUGUAGCUGGUCUGAGAGGACGACCAGCCACACUGGGACUGAGACACGGCCCAGACUCCUACGGGAGGCAGCAGUGGGGAAUUUUGGACAAUGGGCGCAAGCCUGAUCCAGCAAUGCCGCGUGCAGGAAGAAGGCCUUCGGGUUGUAAACUGCUUUUGUACGGAACGAAACGGCUCUGGUUAAUACCCGGGGCUAAUGACGGUACCGUAAGAAUAAGCACCGGCUAACUACGUG
RNAcentral lists this ribosomal RNA (482 nucleotides) under uncultured bacterium. RNAcentral's name for it is "partial 16S ribosomal RNA". It matches the Rfam family "Bacterial small subunit ribosomal RNA", at positions 30 to 507 of the family's 1533-position model. The record is from RNAcentral.